UUUCGCAAUGCCCGAAAGGGUGACGAAGCGACGCCGCGUGUGGGAAGAAGGCCUUCGGGUUGUAAACCACUGUCGGGAGUUAAGAAAUGUAAGGGUGUUAACAGCAUCCUUACUUGACUAAGGCUCCGGAGGAAGCCACGGCUAACUCUGUGCCAGCAGCCGCGGUAAUACAGAGGCGGCAAGCGUUGUUCGGAAUUAUUGGGCGUAAAGAGCACGUAGGCGGCCUUGCAAGUCAGUUGUGAAAUCCUUCUGCUUAACGGAAGAACAGCAGCUGAUACUACAGGGCUUGAGUGCGGGAGGGGAGAGUGGAACUUCUGGUGGAGCGGUGAAAUGCGUAGAUAUCAGAAGGAACGCCGGCGGCGAAAGCGGCUCUCUGGCCCGUAACUGACGCUGAGUGUGCGAAAGCUAGGGGAGCAAACGGGAUUAGAUACCCCGGUAGUCCUAGCCGUAAACGAUGGGCACUAAGUAGAGGGGUUUUA
RNAcentral lists this ribosomal RNA (479 nucleotides) under uncultured bacterium. RNAcentral describes it as "bacterial SSU rRNA". It matches the Rfam family "Bacterial small subunit ribosomal RNA", at positions 364 to 833 of the family's 1533-position model. The record is from RNAcentral.